Macrosteles quadrilineatus (aster leafhopper) is the source of this 574-nucleotide long non-coding RNA. RefSeq lists it as uncharacterized. The record is from RefSeq and is a predicted model, not a curated record. The transcript is spliced from 3 exons. NCBI's taxonomy places the organism in Eukaryota, Metazoa, Arthropoda, Insecta, Hemiptera, Cicadellidae.
UAGUAUAUUUAGUCGUAACUUUUAUAGUGGUUUAACGUCUAAGACUAUUGUAUAAUUAAAGAUUUAUGUUAAAUCACCAACUAAAUGUACAAUGAUAAAGCUCCUAUGUGUAACUAUCACUCUUAUUAUUAUCGCCAGCGUGGUCGCUCGCCCGCUUACCAGAUCAGAGCAAAAGAGGAUAUACCGUAAGAUCACGGAAAGCAUGGUAAACAAAUUGAAACGCACUCUUAAAAUAAUUAAAAACUCAGGCAGGAAAUAUUCUCCAGCAGAAGUGCAAGCUAUGAUGAGUAAAACAUUGCUUGACGAGCUGGCCAAAUAUCAAGAUGACAUACAAAGAUUACCUUUGAAAGGACGAAAACUUCCUGAUUUUUCUAUUGAACCGCGGUGGGAAAAGGAAGUCCAAAGAUGUGCCAAAGAUUUGACAGGGGGUGUUAAGGUGAAGAUCCCCACAUAUAUAUUAUAACCAAAAGUGUUGAUAGUUUAGUUUGUUAAUCAGAUAUGUCUCAACAGAUAAGCUCUUUAUUGUUUACCCUUAAUCAUCAGAUUAAAUGGUUUAAGUUAUUGUUAUCCCUAA